This 253-nucleotide ribosomal RNA is filed under the name uncultured bacterium. RNAcentral describes it as "partial 16S ribosomal RNA". It matches the Rfam family "Bacterial small subunit ribosomal RNA", at positions 524 to 776 of the family's 1533-position model. The record is from RNAcentral.
GACGGAGGGAGCUAGCGUUACUCGGAAUCACUGGGCGUAAAGGGCGUGUAGGCGGAUUAGAAAGUCGGGCGUGAAAUACCUCGGCUCAACCGAGGAAUUGCGUCCGAAACUUCUUUUCUUGAGUGUGGGAGGGGAGAGUGGAACUCCUGGUGGAGCGGUGAAAUGCGUAGAUAUCAGGAGGAACGCCGGUGGCGAAAGCGGCUCUCUGGUCCACUACUGACGCUGAGGCGCGAAAGCCAGGGGAGCAAACGGG